AUGCCUCUGUGGACUUCACCAAGAAAGACUGGGGUUGCUGGACUCUGUUCAGAGGAAGCUGCACGGAGCUGUGAUGCUGGAGAAUUACCGCCCCUUUGUCUCAGCGAAGUCUUCUGUUCGCAGCAUGAUACUGGAGGGUGCCACCCUCAGCUGACGCUCCGUCCUUUUUUGCUGCAUGUGUAUUCAGCUUACAGGGGACAUCUCUGCUGAUUGGGCUUGGGAUGAAUCUAAUAAGAACCCAGCUGGAGACUUGAAUGAAACUUUUGUGGAAAAUGAAGAUAAAGUACUUACGUUAUCUGUUACCUCAGGAGCUUUCCUGCUGGCAAAUUUUGGACCAGGUGGCUUAGUACAGUAAGGAGGAGUCAGAAUUAAAUUGUGAAUAUUCAGAGGGAGGUGUAAGUAACCCUGAACUGGAUCUUUCUACUUGUCAGAAGUGGAGAAAAGUAUCUUCUCAUAUUUCCAGGAACCACAAGCAGUGUGGUGACUCUUCA
This 491-nucleotide long non-coding RNA is filed under the name Cervus hanglu yarkandensis (Yarkand deer). RNAcentral describes it as "lncRNA (ENSCHYG00000014282.1)". The record is from RNAcentral. Lineage: Eukaryota; Metazoa; Chordata; Mammalia; Artiodactyla; Cervidae.